RNAcentral lists this ribosomal RNA (502 nucleotides) under uncultured bacterium. RNAcentral's name for it is "partial 16S ribosomal RNA". It matches the Rfam family "Bacterial small subunit ribosomal RNA", at positions 30 to 523 of the family's 1533-position model. The record is from RNAcentral.
AUUGAACGCUGGCGGUAUGCUUAACACAUGCAAGUCGAACGGUAGCAGGCCCUUCGGGGCGCUGACGAGUGGCGGACGGGUGAGUAAUGCGUAGGAAUCUACCUAUUGGAGUGGGAUAACCUAGGGAAACUUAGGGUAAUACCGCAUAAGCUCUAAGGAGUAAAGCAGGGGACUGUUACAGGCCUUGCGCUGAUAGAUGAGCCUACGUCGGAUUAGCUAGUUGGUAGGGUAAAGGCCUACCAAGGCGACGAUCCGUAGCGGGUCUGAGAGGACGACCAGCCACACUGAGACUGAGACCCGGGCCAGACUCCUACGGGAGGCAGCAGUGGGGAAUAUUGGACAAUGGGGGCAACCCUGAUCCAGCAAUGCCGGGUGUGUGAAGAAGGCCUGCGGGUUGUAAAGCACUUUCGGUGGGGAGGAAAUGCUUGGUGCUAAUAUCGCCAAGAGCUGACGUUACCCACAGAAGAAGCACCGGCUAAGUCUGUGCCAGCCGCCGCCGUAA